Molecule: long non-coding RNA, 237 nt
Filed under: Lathyrus oleraceus (garden pea)
Lineage: Eukaryota; Viridiplantae; Streptophyta; Magnoliopsida; Fabales; Fabaceae
Description: Pisum sativum (pea) long non-coding RNA (PSAT_LNC024997)
Source: RNAcentral
AGCCAGAGGAUCGAAACUCCAGAUUAAGUCAGAAGACUGAUUCAGAUUCAGCCAGAGGAUCGGAAGAGAAAUAAACAGCGCAGUGUAUUUCAGCAUUUUUGUGGUGUUCAAUUGAGUAUAGAUUCAGCCAGAGGAUCGAAACUCCAGAUUAAGUCAGAAGACUGAUUCAGAUUCAGCCAGAGGAUCGGAAGAGAAAUAAACAGCGCAGUGUAUUUCAGCAUUUUUGUGGUGUUCUCG